UUCGCUGUCUCCCUCACAUUUGGAGAUAUUCCUCGAAAACUUAGUUCAGAGCUAAGUCGACUUGAAUCGUUUUAUGCAGUAAUAUUUUUCAUCCGUGAACAAAAAUUCGGGACUGUUUUUGUAAAAUAUGUUGACACCUCCAGAAUUCAAAAUAUAGAAUUCGAGUCUCCUUUCCCAUACGGCGACUCGGCAUUAGUCUCCAGGAAGAAAGAGCCCCGCGUCUCACUGCUCACCUUAUCCCCCAUGACAGCCGUAGAAUUAUCACACUUUCCAGCUCUAUAUUCCGCCCAACUGUCGCACUUGAUUGCGACGAAUGCGCGUGGAGAGACUAUCGACUCCGCCAUGAACUGGGGCGAGCACCCGGGCUGUCGAAAGGUCCCGCCGUUGGGGUAAAAAUCUGCAUGUCCAACGGUUUUAAUGAAUCCCAAGGUGCCUGCGCAAGUGUGGAUAACGUCGACAAAUAUCGCGUCCGACGGAUCCAAUCGGCUCUUUUGAUCUUUAUAAACAGGGGCUUCGAACGCUGGCCGAGCUGGAUCCAUUCCCGUUAUUCUGCCUACGUUGCCGGAUAAACUCGAGCCGGCGAAACCGGCUAUGUGCGCCCCCAGACUGUGGCCCAGUAUGUGAACAUUAGCUAAUGAAAUAUUGGUUUCGGCGUUCAGAAAAUGGAGAAAUUCACCGACGUAUGCGCCUAUCUGCAAGAUUAAUUCGCCUAUUGGAUGAAUUCCAAUUUUUUUUCGCUGCUGGAGAAUCGGGGGUGCGCUUUGCGGGCAUAUGAAUUUGCUAGUGGUUUAUGCGCAUUAUUUAUGAUCACUAUAGUUAAUUAAUGGAUGCACAUAUGUAUUCAUUAAUUCAUUAAGAAAGAGUUAAUAUUCGCCCUCAUUAUGUUUUUAUCUGAGAGAAAAUUUGAAUAUUUUUUUAUUCAAUGUAUGUUUUUUAUUUAAAUAACAGAAAUAUUGACAAUUAA
Molecule: long non-coding RNA, 964 nt
Organism: Diachasma alloeum
Lineage: Eukaryota; Metazoa; Arthropoda; Insecta; Hymenoptera; Braconidae
Exons: 2
Source: RefSeq, a predicted model, not a curated record